RNAcentral lists this ribosomal RNA (423 nucleotides) under uncultured bacterium. Its description in RNAcentral is "bacterial SSU rRNA". It matches the Rfam family "Bacterial small subunit ribosomal RNA", at positions 53 to 480 of the family's 1533-position model. The record is from RNAcentral.
ACUGCAAGUCGAACGAGAAAGCGGGGGCAACCCUGCAAGUACAGUGGCAGACGGGUGAGUAACACGUGAACAACUUACCCUCGAGCGGGGAAUAACACCGCGAAAGCGGUGCUAAUACCUCAUAACAUUCCCGGGUCGCAUGGUCUGGGGAUCAAAGGCGAAAGUCGCUCGAGGAGAGGUUCGCGCCUGAUUAGCUAGUUGGUGAGGUAACGGCCCACCAAGGCGACGAUCAGUAGCCGGCCUGAGAGGGCGAACGGCCACACUGGAACUGAGACACGGUCCAGACUCCUACGGGAGGCAGCAGUGGGGAAUUUUGCGCAAUGGGCGAAGGCCUGACGCAGCAACGCCGCGUGGAGGAUGAAGGUCUUCGGAUCGUAAACUCCUGUCAGGGGGGAAGAAAGCCUUAACCGGUUUGACUUACCC